AUGGAGUCAGUGUUCCCACAGUUGAGUGGGCAUCUGAACCACCAGAAGGGCUUGUUAAAACUCUGCAUGUUGGGCCCUGUCCCAGAGUUGCUGAGUCAGUAGAUCUGGGGUGGGGCCUGAGAAUCUACAUUCCUAACAAGGUCUCAGGAGCAGCUGAUGCAGCUGGUCCGGGCACCGCAUUUUGAGGCCCACAGUCCAAAGCAACCCUGACGGACACAGGAUCCAGGGUUAGGGGACCAGGCUUCAAGCUUGAUGCUGCUACAAGAGGCUGUGUGGACUCAGAUGAGAAAAUGGAGCAACAAGUUCAUGAAGAUUUAAAAUAAGGCACCUCUGAGAAUUCAAAUCUGUUACCCAGGGCCACCAUGUUGAACACUACCCGGGUUGCACAUUGUAUAACUUUCUGCUGCAUCAUCCACAUAAACUAGGAUUUAAACGGCGCCCCUUGGAUUUGUGCAUCAUGGCAGGCCAUCAUCCAUUCAAAUUAAGAACACGGAAAAGGAUACCGAUGUGUUAAACCACCAAAGAACAUUGAAAACUAGUCUAUUGUUGUAGAUGUGAUUAAGGUGUUUGUGGUGUUAAAGUUGUAGGUCCUUCUGGUUCUGCUGUGUGGGACACUGCCUUAGCGUGGCUUGAUGAGCAGUACUAGGUCCAUACCCCGGAUCCGAACUGGUGAAACCCCGGGCUGCUGAAGCUGAGCACGGAAACUUAACCACUGGCCAUGGAGCCAGUCCCUGGAUUUUUCACUUAGCAUAAUGCUGUUGAGAUUCAUUCAUGUUGAAAAAUGGUUCUCAAAGUUGGCUUCACAAUGGAAUUUGACUGGCUUUAAAACCCACUGAUGUCUGAGCCCCACAUCAGAGGUCUGUGGGAGUGUGGAAGACUUGAAAAUCUUCCCAGGUGAUUCUAAUGCGCAUUCAAGAUUGAGAAACUCUGGACCAAAAGUUCAAGGAAAGAACAAAUCCCACACAGUUUAUGUGGGGAGUUGCAGUGCACCCUGACCAAGGAGAAGGAUGACGGAAGGCCAAUGGUGGAUGUGUUCCCUAUCUGAGAACACCACAGAAGGUGCAUCUGGAAGCCAGUCGAGUAUUGUGGCUUCACAGCUUGCGUGGAACUUCUCGUUCUCUCACUGAUGAGCUGUGGAACUUUCAGCAAAUUAGCUAAUGUCCCUGUGCUUCUGUUUCCUCAUCAGUGAUCUGGACAUCAUUACAUCCCACAGCAUCUCAGCGGCACUAUGAAGCUGUGUGAGUCAAGGCAGACAGAAUGCCUCACGCAGCGAUGGGCACGUAAGUCUUAGGCCCUCUAUCAUGCAGGUUCUCAAAAUCUAUCUUUUCUGUGUCUGUGUUUCUACCUUUACAAAAUUGCAUCAUAACAUACUAGUUAUCUAUAUCAUAACUAUUUUGUCCUUUCUGGAAAAUAUUUCUUUCCUAAUGCCUACAAGAAAGCUGAACACACAGUGAAGGUACUGUGAUACUGAUCAUAGCAAUGACAUGGCCGGAAAGGCCAAGAUUUCUGCCUUGCAGAGAACAGGAUCCAGACAAAGUCGUGCAGGAGUUCUGCUGUGGACCUACUGCAAGACUUGGAGGAGUCAAGUAACUAUCUCAGUAUUCCAGAAUGUUAAUGUUAAAAUGGGAGCAACAAGCAUUUUGAGGAGUAAUGUCAAUGAAGAGUGAUGCUUCUUACAUAGCUAGAAAGACAGAAGUAUAAAUUAUUAAUGCAUUUGAUAAAGAUUUCUUAAAAGAUCAAACUCCAAGUCUUUUCUUCCAAGUCUUUAAAGCCUUUUUCUGCACUGGGGGAUUUUUCACUUACUGCUGGCAAGUCCUCAAGGUGAUUUGAGAAAGGCAUCUUGCAGACUGGGAGGCGGAGAAGUCUGCCUCACCCCCAUCAGCCCCGUGAGCUGCGACUGCAAGCACACGUGCACGCGCACACACACACACACACAAUCCUUCAAGAAAAUGAAUGACUGAACGUGGGGCUCACAUGCGUCUUUGCAGGCACCAUCCUAGUGACCCCAGAUCCUUCACACGUCUAAGUCCUACACAGAAAGGAGUAGCGGCUGUCCAAGGCUUCCAGCAGGUGCGGAGGAGGGUCUCCCACACUGCACAUCCUGAGCCCGGUUCCCCUUCCAUUUAUUUCCGUGGCACUGACUAUGUGUGCAGCGAGCCGUGCUGCAGCGGAGAUACCCCAGAGAAAGAGGAAACCCGUUGAGCUAUUUUUCACCAUUACAUACUUCACUUCCUAAUAAAUGAGAUCCAGAGCAUGCAAACAGCCAGUCUUGUAGGUCAUCAUCUUAGGGAAAAUCACAGACCUAACGCAGCACAAAGCAAAAAAUAAAUAAACCCAGAGGAGAGCCAUUCUGGAGAAAUUUGAUACCAUAAUUCUCUUCUCAUAGCAUUCUGUCCCUCCCUAGAAGGUUUUGUGCCUUGGAGAUCUAUCAGGGCUCUAAGGGUGGUUGAAAAAUAAAAAAGUGCUAGAUCUUUCUCUGUCCUCAUGCCAGCUUAUUUUCCCCAGCAGAAAGAGAUUUAUUUAUAUGUAAGAGCAGACAAGUUGAGACCAAGUCAUAUUUCACCUGAUUCAAGCCGUGUGAUCACUGAUCGGUAAGGGGCAUGACUUAUGAGGGUUUUAUCAGCUACCUAUGCCAAGCAGCACAUCAGAAUCUGUAUUUCAGGGCUGUAACAGUGCUGGAGUAAGUGGGCACGUGACAUGCCCAUCCUUGCCCAGCAGAGCUCAUGGAUUCUCUGGCGCCUUGGCUUUUGGUGGCCUUUUCCAGUCUCUGGGCUUUUCCUUGUUCCUUCAGAGGAAAAGCCCACAUUUAGAUGCAACUUUGAAAGUUGAGGUCACGAGCACUGCUCGCUGUGUCAACUCAGGGAAUCAGUGGACAGUAAUGCAAUCUCCCCAUGUUCACCAGGGAAUAUAAUAUUUCACACAGAAAAUAGCAAAAUACUCCCACGGCCCCGGGACAAUAUCCUGAAGUUGUUUGAGGUGAAAGAAAAUAACUGUCUUUGGGGCAAAAGAAUUUAGACUCUUUAGCAGCAAACUUUUGUUGCCUUUUGUCUGACACCAUCUGAAUAUUUAUUCAGGUCUAUUCCAGGUUAGAAAAGGGAAUGGCUCUCGCGCACAAUCUUGUGAGAUUUCUUUGCCCAUUUUUUGUUGGCCCUAAAGCCAUCUGAGAUGAUAAAUGAGGCUUUUCUGGCCAAAGGCUUGCAAUUUCCUAUUAUAUUUUAAAACGACACCUGGUGGAUCUCUAAGCCUCUGGAAAAUUCUCAAUGCUCUGUCCUCUUAUUUGGACAGUCCUAGGGGAAAAGAGAGAAGAUCAAGCUAGGUCUUAAUUUCUGAGUAUUAUCUGUUCGUGGAUGCUAAUAUUCAGAGAAAUGGAAAGCAGCUACUCUCCUGGUUAAGGGAACUAGUAGAGGAAAGCCCACUAUCUAAACUAUGUGUGAACUGGUUCCCAGUUUUUUUCAGUGGCUAAAACACUAUCCCUCCUAACAACUAAGCUUCAUUUACCCUUUUAUAAAAUAUAAGUACUAGAGGGAUGUGUGAGACUUUAAUUCCUUAAAAAUGUCACAUCCUUUUCCUCCCCAGCUGAAGUGACCCAGACAGCUUGAGGGUGAGAGAAGAGAGUGAAAAGGAAGCCGAAACAAGAGCACUAGGCCACCAUUUCUCUCUUAUGCCAUCUUGAUACUUGCCGCGAUGCUGAGGGAUGUGGAAGGAAAAUCAACCAACUGCAAUUCAAGAGACGGGGGUCGAGAUGUACAUGAUUCUACAGAAGUCAUCCAACAGUUCCGAGUUCUACUCUUCUAUGUAAAAUAGUGAAAUGAUAUUUACGCUUUCUAAGUCUUGAGCUUGUUAGGGGGAAGAUUUGGGCAGACUCUGUUUCACAGCUCCUGGUCACAGGGCAGCCAUGACAGUUCUGUCUUUGCUUUGGUUUAAUAGGAACACGUGACUUCUAGCCAAUGGAAUGUUAGUGGAAGGAUGUGUCGGAUAAAAAUCUCUGAUGAGUGAUCCUCCAUGCUGAUUUCCCAAAUGCCAACCGAAUGUAGAGGUUUCCAAGGCCUAAGAGGAGGACAGAAUCACGCAAUAGGAGUCUGGACCCUCAAAUUGCCAUGAGGAAGGCUGUGUUCGAACCAAGAACACCUGUGUGGGACUUUACAGAAGUAAAAAUAAACUUUUUUGUAUGUUAAGUCACUGAAGUUUCAUGGUUUGUUUAUUACAGCACUUAGUAUUACCCUAAUUAAUGCGAGGAUCAAGUGGGGAAAAAAUGGAUUUAAAAACAUUAUGCAAACUCUAAAAUACUGUACAGAUUUAAGGGUUUUUACUGGCUUUGGUUGUGUAAAGUCUUGGGAGUAAGUGCUAAAGUUAUGUUGAAAUAAAAUACUAUUAACAGAUAUUUAUUCAAUGCUUACUAGAGGAUGCAAAUCUUAUGUAGCUUAUCUAAUUUGUUCCUCUUGGCCACCUUAAGUAGAUGUCUUUCUUUAUUGUCAUUUUUACAGUUGAAGAAAGUAAACUUCAGAGAAAUGAAGUCACUUACCUGAAAUCAUACAACUACCAAGGGCUGAGGGCUUUCAUUAAAGUUUUAUUUUUUUGUUUUCCAAAUCUACUUUUGCACCCUAUUAUAGUAUUCAAAAAUUUUAAACUUCUUCUAGAAGAAAGCCAGACUGUUUAUUCUACUCCCUCUAUACCAAAGGAACAGCAGAUAGAUGUGCACAUGGAACAUUCUGUUCAUUCCAAUAAGUCUGAAAAUCCUGAUGUUGGAGAUGACAUUCUUUGAAGUCGUUUUCCAAGUGUAGGCAGCUACUUUUCACUCAAAACUAUGCAGUUCAAGUAAUUGAGUUCUCAAUUUUCUUGCAUUAAAAGUAACCUAGGGCGGCCAAAACCUUGGGUAGAUGAAGGGUUUUCCCCCCUCUUCUGUUUUCCUCAAGCUUCAAAAAUGCACUUGCCAAAAUAAUGUGAUUUGAGCUGCUCUUUAAAUAUUUUUACCAGGUGAGGAAUUGCUGGUACAUUCCAUCUUGUCAGUAAUGAUUUCACAUUUGUCACUCUCAUCGGGUAGACUGUCCACGGACUGCGGACCAUUUUCACACUCAUUUUGGAUACUGUUUGGUGUUAUUUUCAUUCAAGGGCAGGCUUGGAACCAAGCAGAUUAUUUCAUAGACUUGGAAACUAUAGGGGGAUGUAACGAAUCUUAGCCUUGAUCUGGGGCAUUUCUGAUGCAAAGCUUUGUCUAUCAAAAAAAUCUGCUCAUUAUAUAACCAAAGAGUGAGGGGACUUGACCAUUUCCCUCUGGUUCAGAGACCCAAGCCUCAUCCCUUUGUCCACAGGUAGUUGUAGAUGCCUUCCUCUGACUUGAGAAUUCUGGCUUGCUUAAACUUUCUGCUGUUCAGAUAAAAAACAGCAGCAAUUUUCUGCUUGAAUUUCUCUGUGACUAAGUCCAUUGAUCAUCCUUUCUCUCUGUGAGUGAGAAGUGUGUUUUCUCCUUAAUAACUCCUAUCCUUCUCCCUGGAUUUUUUUUUUCCCCCUUCGCUUGUUUGUGUUGUGUUGGUCAGUCCUACGCGCUAUUCCUCUGAGAGACAGAGAGCGCGCAAAAUUGAAGUUAUUUUAUGCUUGGGCUCCCUCGGUCCCAAUUUUCAAAUCUUCAUGUCAAUUUUCACACAUCAGUGUCAUGUGGUGAAUGUUAUGGAAAUUUCAGUGGGGUCCUUGGGAGGAAAUUUAUACACGGAUCCCUCCCCCACAACACUAUCCGGCUGCAAUUCCUGUCUUUUCUAAGAAUAAGUGGAUCUAUAAUUAAUGUGGAUUUUAAAAUAUAACGGCAUUCAGAAUUCUCAUAGCAGGUUUUCGACGCCAUGUCUUCUUUGCAGUAUAAACACAAAAGCAUAAAUGCUUGCUAGCUCUCUCUCCUAAUAAAUGGGCUUGUGUAAAAGGAAUAAAAAUUACAGUUUGUUGGCUGUAAAGAGCAACUAAUUACUCAGGAAGAAGCAUGUUUUUAUUUUUCAAAACUGCACUGAAAAUGGUUUAUCAUGCAAUAAAUUUGCUAAUCACCAGUUAGGAAACACAGCGCCAUCACCACCUACCCACAGCGGCUUCCUUUGAAAGUUGGUAUGUUACAGUUUGGAUAGGAAAUUAUAUCCUUUUGAAAAUGAACAUGACAGAAGACGUUCACUGAAUAGCUUAAAACUCCUCAGCAGUCAGAAUUCAAACUGCAUAAACAAGAGUGUGGAUAUUGGUGCCAACAGACAGCAACUACUGACCUUGGAUUUGCUUGGUGAGCAGACCACCCAGGACCCCUUCUCAUGAAGACAGGUAUUCAUUUCCUUUUGCUCUUUCCCUUUUAACAGUGAAAGUGGAAGACCCCCAAAUGAAGAAUACAAGGUUGGCCUUAAUUUUUUCACUUUCCUUUUCUUCAGCCCCUCGCCAUCCUAUAAAUGUUAAUUUCUUAUAGAUUUGCCUUACAUUUUUCCAGAAGAACCUGGAGAACUGUCUUCUCAUCCAGAACUGUAGGAGUCCAGCUUGAUGAACUUGAAACCAUACAAACCAGUAACAGGAAUAUCUUAUCCCUGCUGCUGGCCCACUCUCUUGCUUCGAAGGUACUUGGCAAUGACUUUCGUAUUGUUCUCCCCAGAAAGGACAUCCAUGGACAUCCUCAUCAAUGAUCAUUGCUGUCUUCCCCUGUCUCCAUGUUUUUCUUGCCAUUACUCUGUCAUAUUUCCUUCUAAGACUUCUUAAUAUUAAAAAUUAUCUCAUUGAUUUGUGUGUUUAUUGACUUAUUAUCUGGUUCGCCACUGGCAGGUACCUUCAGUGAAAGAGGAAACCUUGUGUUCUUUUUGUUGUUGUUGUUGUUUUUUGAGGAAGAUUAGCCCUGAGCUAACUGCUGCCAAUCCUCUUCUUUUCGCUGAGGAAGGCUGGCCCUGAGCUAACAUCAAUGCCCAUCUUCCUCUACUUUAUAUGUGGGAUGCCUACCACAGCAUGGCGUGCCAAGCAAUGCUGUGUCCACACCCGUGAUAUGAACUGGCGAACCCCAGGCUGCUGAAGUGGAACGUGUGCACUUAACUGCUGUGCCACUGGGCUGCUCCCGAAACAUUCUGUUUUGAUCAGCUCAGUAUCACCAGAUCUUGGUCAGACGUCGGGCACAGAGUAAUUUUCAAUGUAUACUGAAGGGUUCAACAAAUGAAUGAAUGAAUGAAUGGACAUUUUGGUUUUUCAUCCCUACCUCAAAAAGCACAGCAUUCAUUAACCAUGAUGUAGCUGACUUGCCACCCCUCAAACAUAGGGGUAUCUAGAGGUAAGGCACCUUUGGGUUUAAAAGUUGGGAGGAGGUGUUUGUUUAAGCUUUCCUUUUGACUAGAAGGAAGGAACAGUAAAUUUUGUGGUCAACUUUCCUUUCUUUGGAGAAAAUGCAUUGUGUGGGAAGCUGGUUAUUAGGUCUGAUUGGUGGAAGGUCACCAGGUCACCAGCCCUGGCUUGCAAUGGCCUGGUGUCUAAGGAGAAGACACUCACAGGCCAGGAGACUCCAGUGGCAGCACUCCCACCGGUGGCCCCACACAAUGGAGUCUUGGAUCAGUACCUUUCUUAGAUGUACAACUGUGAGCAACUCACUCAAUUUCUUCAGUUCUCAGUUGUCUUGCCUGAAAAUCACCAUAUAACCCCCUACCUCACCUAGAGUUAUUAGAAUUAAAUAAAAACACGUGUCCAACACUAUUUUGUAAACUACUGAGGGCCAUACAAAUAUUUUGGCUGGUUUGAUAUAGAAGAAAUGGUCAAGGAUAUAUUAAAAAUGAAAAGACUGUUCUUUUGUGUGACAAUUUUUGUCCCGUCUGUACUAUAAGAAAGAUAGGUAAGAAAGUCACCAUUUUAUAGAUCAAUAAACUGAGGACUAGGGAAGCUGUGUCAUGCUUAGCAUCAUAGAUAAUACUGUCUAUCUUUGCAUCUGGAACAGGCCCCAGAUCUCUAGAUGAUUAGUGCGGUAAUUUUGUUUCUAGAUGGUUGCAGUAAUUUCUGGUUCUCUUUCCACAGGAGCUGUCGCUGGGGGCACUGGUUCAUCAGAGCAAUGCUGUGGUUGGGUCUUGGGCCUGAGAGUCGAUCAGCCAAGUUAACAGGUUUGGCUUGACAUGGCCGAGUCGGAGGACAAGCACACAUCUGAGUCCAGAAGAAAAGCAUCAAGAACAACUCUAAAUUCAAGGACAAACUUGGAUCAGGAAUGGCAAAUCAAGUCAAAUACUAGAGUCCGGAAGAAGGUAUUUUUAGAAAGAGAGGCAGACAGAAUAGCCAGGACAAUGCAAAGAGGGUCCAGAACUUUCCACAUCAAUAACCCUGAGAUGCCCCAACAUUGCGGUUGCGGGUAUGGUAGGCUAUAUAUUGAAUAAGUGGCCCAGGCUGAUCCAAAGGUAUGGGGCAGCAAUAGGAACUAUGCUUCUCCAUAGAUUCUUCCAUAAAGACAGGAGCCUUUUAUUAGUUUGAGGGGCUUCCUGUAGUAAAAGAGUUAUGGGAGAGGCAGUAGCAAAGACACACCCCUUGACCACAAUGUUGCCCCCACCCCAAAGGAAGACUUUCCUAGAGUGGAUUUGAUGUCUAUGGACAUAACCUGAAAAAGACAAAUCGUUUUGGGAAACACUAGUUUGAAGAAAAUUAGAUGCAGGAUUUCUCAGAGCCUUUAAUAGUUUAAUACUCAUUUAAUAAUAAUUGUGGCCAUUAAACAGGCUCCUUGAAUUUUGAAGAGUAGUUCACCGACGGAUUUCGCGAAGAGUGUGUGGUAUUUCCUAAAUGCACUUCAACACCAACACACAUAUUUUUCUAGAAUCUCUUGAUAGAGUAGUGUUCCACAGGAUGUAGUUUGCUCACGUUGGUCUAGGUAACCUGUUACACCGAUUUAGGUAACUUUUUUGUAUACGGUGAAUGAAGUCACACUGCAGUUAUUGUUUUUCCUUUUUAACUCAUUUCAUCAUUACCGUCAUUAGGCUGCAGUCCAUUUAACCCUUUGAUUCAUUGUUUCUCUGUGAAGUGUAGGCAGCUUCACGGCGACAGAAAAAAUAGGACAGAGAGAGAAUCAUGUCUCAGGGUCAAAGUAGGCGUAUUGAUCUACCUAGAGCUAUUCUGGAAUGUUUCUGUUUCCUGUUCUCAUUUACACUCAGAGAAGUCUUCACGGUCCAAUGGGUGAAACUCGGUUAAAAUGUGAUAGAUUCUUUUGAUUUUAUAGGAUCAAAGAGGCUUUCUACUCAUUAAACUUCUCACAGUAACAUUCUUUCUUAAGUCUGUUUUCAAAUUUAAGAGCUCAGGGGAAUGGAGUUUGCUGAAAGUCUAUCAUUUAGAGAAUAUCGAAGCUGCAUUACAUUAUGUCAAGUUCAGUCUUCCCAUUGCUCCAUUUUGAUUCUCCUCCUAUGUAAUUAUUGCUUGGAGAACAAGCAACUGACCUUUUCCUCCUUUCCUGUUUCAGCACAAAAAGAUGGAAUUAAUCCUUUUACAUGAAAUUAGAACUGUGAAUUCUAAGACCCUAAUCCAAAAUGUCCCUGUCUUGAUUAUGGUUUCUCACUGCAGUUUUCUCUUUUGUAGAAUGGAACGAAGUCUUCUUACCUGGAAAAAAUGGAUAAAAUGAAAAUAAAUAAACAACAUGUGGGCUUUCAUUUAUGUUUUCCUUUGUGUUCUGCAAAACUAAUGGAAACUUCAAAUGAAUGUUUUUCUCAGGUCAAUUAUCAGUAACAAUAAUGGGACACAGUAUAGUGUGAUAUUUAAGUGGAACACAUUCUAGAAUCUGAUUACCUGGGUCCGCACUGUGCCCCAGAAGAUUUUGCACAUGCAAAAUCGAACCUCUCUGGGCCUCAGUUUCCUUCUCUCUAAGAUGAGGUUGUAGUCAUAAUCCUUAUCUCCUAUUGUAAGAUUUAAAGAUAAUCCACAUAAAGCAAUUAGGGACAGUUAAGCACUCAACAAUAUUAGCUAUCAUCACUACCAUCUGUACUUUUAAGUUUCACUUACCAGUUUUUUCUACUAGAAGUUUACGAAAUCCAAACAUGUAGAAAUAUGUAGGUAGCCCCCUUGAGCAUUAAAAUACUUGUGUUGUUGUUGUUGUUGUUAGAGAACACAGACGUACAAAUGUAACAUUUUUUCCUCUAACCUAAUUAUCUGUUGACUCAAUAAAUGAAUUCAUCAAUUCAACCUCUUAUUUCAGAUCCUUUGCAAAGAGAAUAUCAUGUGCCUGUGCCCUAUGAACUUUUUCUUUCUUCUUUUGUUUUCUUCUCUGAUGAGCUACAAAUCAGGACAAAUGUAGUAGGUGUCAGAAAUAAUUUACCUACAUGUGUGUAAUGAGUUUGGACAAACGCAUGAGCAACAUAUCUCUUUCUUCCACAUGGGAGGACCAGCACCAGGUCCUUCUUUCCAGCUGGAAGGGCUCAUGAACUGCUAGCUUUGCGGGUUCAGCUUGACAUCUCCACUUCCAGGCCAGCUAGUAGUCAC
Molecule: long non-coding RNA, 10428 nt
Organism: Equus caballus (horse)
Lineage: Eukaryota; Metazoa; Chordata; Mammalia; Perissodactyla; Equidae
Source: Ensembl